AUUUAUAUAGUUUAUAAAAAUAUUAAAUUGCAAAUUUAAAGAUAUUAAAAUUAAUUAUAAAUU
Molecule: transfer RNA, 63 nt
Filed under: Lasioglossum punctatissimum
Lineage: Eukaryota; Metazoa; Arthropoda; Insecta; Hymenoptera; Halictidae
Description: tRNA-Cys
Source: RNAcentral